Homo sapiens (human) is the source of this 871-nucleotide long non-coding RNA. Ensembl annotates it as crystallin beta B2 pseudogene 1. Its record names the gene CRYBB2P1. The record is from Ensembl. Lineage: Eukaryota; Metazoa; Chordata; Mammalia; Primates; Hominidae.
GAGUCCAGAAUGAGAAGAAGGAAAGCGGGGCCGGUUCCUUCAGGACCCGCCUCAGGGGGCACCGCGGCGGCUUGGGGACCACUUGGAGCCCCGUCCUGGGGAGAAAACAGCUCACGUCUAUGGCCCUGACUGCUUAGGCGGGAGCUGCGUGCAGCUCAGCUUCUCCGGGGCAUUUUUUUCUACACGCUGGGUGAGCUAUGAACAGGCCAACUGCAAGGGCGAGCAGUUUGUGUUUGAGAAGGGCGAGUACGCCCACUGGGACUGGUGGACCAGCAGCCAGAGGACAGACUCAGCAGCCUGAGGCCCAUCAAAGUGGUGGUUGGUGCCCGCCCCCCGCGCCCAAGGGUUGGGCAACUCCCGUCAUUGCUCAAUAACCAAUAGCCAUCAGAAAUACUACAAGAAAUUAUGAGUUUGGGGCUGGAGGAGAAGGUGGUUUAGCUCUUCUUCAAGACUCGUGCCAGUGACAGCCAAGAGCACAAGAUCAUCCUCUAUGAAAACCCCAACUUCACCGGGAAGAAGAUGGAAAUCAUAGAUGACGAUGUACCCAGCUUCCACGCCCAUGGCUACCAGGAGAAGGUGUCAUCUGUGUGGGUGCGGAGUGGCAUGUGGGUUGGCUACUAGUACCCUGGCUACCGUGGGCUGCAGUACCUGCUGGAGAAGGGAGACUACAAGGACAGCAGCGACUUUGGGGCCCGUCACCCUCAGGUACAGUCCGUGCGCUGCAUCCACGACAUGCAGGGGCACCAAUGUGGUGCCUUCCACCCCUCCAACUAGUGCCCACCCCACCAUGCCUCCUUCCCAGGACCCAGGUCUGCUGCCCAGGAACCCUCCAGACCUCCCAGAGAGUGAAUGAAGUGUGACUUGCAACUUG